RNAcentral lists this small RNA (21 nucleotides) under Arabidopsis thaliana (thale cress). RNAcentral's name for it is "AGO1_3158". Lineage: Eukaryota; Viridiplantae; Streptophyta; Magnoliopsida; Brassicales; Brassicaceae. The record is from RNAcentral.
UUUAGUCACUUUCACUGCAUU